UACGUAGGGGGCGAGCGUUGUCCGGAUUUAUUGGGCGUAAAGCGCGUGUAGGCGGCAGUUUAAGUCGGCCGUGAAAUCUCCAGGCUUAACCUGGAGGGGUCGGGCGAGACUGGAUUGCUCGAGGUGGGCAGAGGGCGGUGGAAUUCCGGGUGUAGUGGUGGAAUGCGUAGAGAUCCGGAGGAACACCAGUGGCGAAGGCGGCCGCCUGGGCCUGGCCUGACGCUGAGACGCGAAAGCGUGGGGAGCAAGCCGG
This 253-nucleotide ribosomal RNA is filed under the name uncultured bacterium. RNAcentral describes it as "partial 16S ribosomal RNA". It matches the Rfam family "Bacterial small subunit ribosomal RNA", at positions 524 to 776 of the family's 1533-position model. The record is from RNAcentral.